AGUGAACGCUGGCGGUAGGCCUAACACAUGCAAGUCGAACGGCAGCACAGGAGAGCUUGCUCUCUAGGUGGCGAGUGGCGGACGGGUGAGGAAUACAUCGGAAUCUGCUCAGUCGCGGGGGAUAACGUAGGGAAACUUACGCUAAUACCGCAUACGACCUUCGGGUGAUAGUGGGGUAUCGCAAGACCUCUCGCGAUUGGAUGAGCCGAUGUCGGAUUAGCUAGUUGGGGGGGUAAUGGCCCACCAAGGCGACGAUCCGUAGCUGGUCUGAGAGGAUGAUCGGCCACACUGGAACUGAGACACGGUCCAGACUCCUACGGGAGGCAGCAGUGGGGAAUAUUGGGCAAGGGGCGGAAGCCUGAGGGAGCGAGACCGCGUGGGUGAAGAAGGCCUUCGGGUUGUAAAGCCCUGUUGUUGGGGAAGAAAUCGUGCGGGCGGAGACGGUGGGGGGAUGACGGUACCGAAAGAGUAAGCACCGGCUAACUUCGUG
This 490-nucleotide ribosomal RNA is filed under the name uncultured bacterium. Its description in RNAcentral is "partial 16S ribosomal RNA". It matches the Rfam family "Bacterial small subunit ribosomal RNA", at positions 30 to 507 of the family's 1533-position model. The record is from RNAcentral.